This 73-nucleotide small RNA is filed under the name Xanthomonas arboricola pv. populi. Its description in RNAcentral is "sX9 sRNA". It matches the Rfam family "Xanthomonas sRNA sX9". Lineage: Bacteria; Pseudomonadati; Pseudomonadota; Gammaproteobacteria; Lysobacterales; Lysobacteraceae. The record is from RNAcentral.
AUGUGCCAUGCGUGCACUGCGGUUCUGAGUGCGCCGUCCGCACCCACCUGACGAUAGCUACGUUUUGUUAGCC